Molecule: non-coding RNA, 307 nt
Organism: Doryrhamphus excisus (bluestripe pipefish)
Lineage: Eukaryota; Metazoa; Chordata; Actinopteri; Syngnathiformes; Syngnathidae
Source: RefSeq, a predicted model, not a curated record
GAGAGCCCAAGAUGCAGUUGAGCAGAAGCUGCAAGGAAGAUGAAAGCCCCCUAAAAAUCCUGUCUGAAGGCUUCUCUGCCUGCCUGUGAAAACACGUUAUCUUAAUGGGAAGUUGUUGGGCCAGAGCAGUCGAAUGGAACCUUUCUGACGAGUAGACAAUUGUUCCUACAGAUUAUGGAGGGGGUAUGCUGGAAUUUGCGCGAGAGGCAGGGUACACCCCGGACUGGUCACCAGCCAAUCACAGGGCACACAUACACACACACAAUCAUCCACACUCACCCUCACACAUAUGGACAAUUUAGAGUCU